Molecule: non-coding RNA, 73 nt
Organism: Paramuricea clavata
Lineage: Eukaryota; Metazoa; Cnidaria; Anthozoa; Malacalcyonacea; Plexauridae
Source: the annotation of a GenBank genome assembly
GACCACGUAGCUCAGUUGGCAGAGCAUUGGGCUAGUAUUCCAAAGGUCGUAGGUUUGAUUCCCACCGUGGCCA